RNAcentral lists this ribosomal RNA (497 nucleotides) under uncultured bacterium. RNAcentral describes it as "partial 16S ribosomal RNA". It matches the Rfam family "Bacterial small subunit ribosomal RNA", at positions 36 to 507 of the family's 1533-position model. The record is from RNAcentral.
UCUUCCCUCUGGCGGCGUGCCUAAUACAUGCAAGUCGAGCGAACAGACGAGGAGCUUGCUCCUUCGACGUUAGCGGCGGACGGGUGAGUAACACGUAGGUAACCUACCUAUAAGACUGGGAUAACUUCGGGAAACCGGAGCUAAUACCGGAUAAUAUUUCGAACCGCAUGGUUCGAUAGUGAAAGAUGGCUUUGCUAUCACUUAUAGAUGGACCUGCGCCGUAUUAGCUAGUUGGUAAGGUAACGGCUUACCAAGGCAACGAUACGUAGCCGACCUGAGAGGGUGAUCGGCCACACUGGAACUGAGACACGGUCCAGACUCCUACGGGAGGCAGCAGUAGGGAAUCUUCCGCAAUGGGCGAAAGCCUGACGGAGCAACGCCGCGUGAGUGAUGAAGGUCUUCGGAUCGUAAAACUCUGUUAUUAGGGAAGAACAAACGUGUAAGUAACUGUGCACGUCUUGACGGUACCUAAUCAGAAAGCCACGGCUAACUACGUG